GCCCUCCCUCUGCUCUCAGCUCAGCCUCUUUCCCUCGUUGAGUGUCUGCAGACAGUUUGAUCAGCUGUACCAUCCCAAAAGCUUCAUUCGUCCUGGGAAAUGAGGCAGUGGGAGCUCUGCAGGUGCACAAAGCCUGGUGAUGAGGGAGAAAGGUCCAACUUUUUUCACUGAGUGGAAGUUUUUCUGAAAUGGAGUCAGAUGUGGAAAAUUUAGUGUAAAAACCAGAGAGGGGAGGAAAAGGCAGCCAGAAUUCCCGACUCAGAUGGAGGAGCCCCUGCAUGGAUCCACAGGGAAGAGCAGGCUCAGCACCCCAUGGCAGAGGGAGCACUCAACAGAUUGGGAGGUUUAGUGAGCUGAGAAGAAGCAUUUUGAUGAUUCAGCACUGAUUUUCCCUGGAAAUCUUGGAGCUGCAUAAAAAUCUGAUGGUGAUUCUUCAGAGAAUCCAUAACAGAGAGGUCUAGUUUGGAAGGAACCUUGGAGACCUUCUCAAUCCAUGGGCAGGAUUGACUUCCACUAAAACAGGUUGUUCCAAGAAUAUUGUUGGUCUGAGAAGGAAAUCAGAGCUCAAAGCCACCCAGCCUGAAGGGACAGCAGUGUGGCCUUGGUGCUGGUGUGGUGUGAGGUGGAGGCAGAGCUGCCUCACAAUGUUCAGUGCCGGAAUUCCAAGAGUUCUCGGCUCUGGCUCAGCCCAGCCUCAUUCCAAGGCAGCAGGAAGGGCUGACAGGGAGCCAGCAGGGCUCUUGCAAUCCCUUUGGCUCCCCUAAUUACUUCUGGCUGCUCUGGAAGCCCCGAGGAGUUCAAAGGGACGAGGCUGGGUUUGCGCGGGGCUGUCUCUCCGCAUCUCCCAUCCCGGCUUCCCAGCCCAUGGUGGUCCAAAAGGGAUUGAAGAAAACAUUAAAAUAUAUUACAAAUGCACAUUCCCACACAGACAAAGGCAAGGAAAAUGGAGAGAAAUCAAAGGGCUAAGUGAACAAUGGAAAU
Molecule: non-coding RNA, 981 nt
Organism: Zonotrichia albicollis (white-throated sparrow)
Lineage: Eukaryota; Metazoa; Chordata; Aves; Passeriformes; Passerellidae
Source: RefSeq, a predicted model, not a curated record